This 465-nucleotide ribosomal RNA is filed under the name Vreelandella stevensii. RNAcentral's name for it is "partial 16S ribosomal RNA". It matches the Rfam family "Bacterial small subunit ribosomal RNA", at positions 338 to 795 of the family's 1533-position model. Lineage: Bacteria; Pseudomonadati; Pseudomonadota; Gammaproteobacteria; Oceanospirillales; Halomonadaceae. The record is from RNAcentral.
CCUACGGGCGGCUGCAGUGGGGAAUAUUGGACAAUGGGCGAAAGCCUGAUCCAGCCAUGCCGCGUGUGUGAAGAAGGCCUUCGGGUUGUAAAGCACUUUCAGUGGGGAAGAAAGCCUUGGGGCUAAUACCCUCGAGGAAGGACAUCACCCACAGAAGAAGCACCGGCUAACUCCGUGCCAGCAGCCGCGGUAAUACGGAGGGUGCGAGCGUUAAUCGGAAUUACUGGGCGUAAAGCGCGCGUAGGCGGUCUGAUAAGCCGGUUGUGAAAGCCCCGGGCUCAACCUGGGAACGGCAUCCGGAACUGUCAGGCUAGAGUGCAGGAGAGGAAGGUAGAAUUCCCGGUGUAGCGGUGAAAUGCGUAGAGAUCGGGAGGAAUACCAGUGGCGAAGGCGGCCUUCUGGACUGACACUGACGCUGAGGUGCGAAAGCGUGGGUAGCAAUCAGGAUUAGAUACCCGGGUAGUC